Molecule: ribosomal RNA, 460 nt
Filed under: uncultured bacterium
Lineage: Bacteria
Description: partial 16S ribosomal RNA
Rfam family: Bacterial small subunit ribosomal RNA
Source: RNAcentral
CCUACGGGAGGCAGCAGUGAGGAAUAUUGGUCAAUGGACGAGAGUCUGAACCAGCCAAGUAGCGUGAAGGAUGACUGCCCUAUGGGUUGUAAACUUCUUUUAUAUGGGAAUAAAAUGUUCCACGUGUGGCUUUUUGUAUGUACCAUAUGAAUAAGGAUCGGCUAACUCCGUGCCAGCAGCCGCGGUAAUACGGAGGAUCCGAGCGUUAUCCGGAUUUAUUGGGUUUAAAGGGAGCGUAGGUGGAUUGUUAAGUCAGUUGUGAAAGUUUGCGGCUCAACCGUAAAAUUGCAGUUGAAACUGGCAGUCUUGAGUACAGUAGAGGUGGGCGGAAUUCGUGGUGUAGCGGUGAAAUGCUUAGAUAUCACGAAGAACUCCGAUUGCGAAGGCAGCUCACUGGACUGCAACUGACACUGAGGCUCGAAAGUGUGGGUAUCAAACAGGAUUAGAUACCCUUGUAGUC